GCCGUUUUCAAGUAAUAAGAAAUCUGUAUAGCUACAAAAAUAGCAAUGGAUCUACCAUUGGGUAACAAGUAAUAUUUUCUAGCCUUCAUAUUCUGCAAGCUUAUGAUCGAUCAAGAAUAAGAAUAGCAUAACAUAAAAAGAUAUCCUACAUAAAAGUAUCAAUACAGCGAAAAUAAGUCAAUUAUGUAGGUUUGAGUUCCAAGCUUC
Molecule: unclassified non-coding RNA, 207 nt
Filed under: Hevea brasiliensis (rubber tree)
Lineage: Eukaryota; Viridiplantae; Streptophyta; Magnoliopsida; Malpighiales; Euphorbiaceae
Source: RNAcentral